RNAcentral lists this ribosomal RNA (522 nucleotides) under uncultured Geobacillus sp. RNAcentral describes it as "bacterial SSU rRNA". It matches the Rfam family "Bacterial small subunit ribosomal RNA", at positions 1 to 507 of the family's 1533-position model. The record is from RNAcentral. Lineage: Bacteria; Bacillati; Bacillota; Bacilli; Caryophanales; Anoxybacillaceae.
CGUAGAGAGUUCGAUCCUGGCUCAGGACGACGCUGCGGCGUGCCUAAUCAUGCAAGUCGAGCGCCGGAUUGGGGCUUGCCUUGAUUCGGUCAGCGGCGGACGGGUGAGUAACACGUGGGCAACCUGCCCGCAAGACCGGGAGUAACUCCGGGAAACCGGAGCUAAUACCGGAUAACACCGAAGACCGCAUGGGUCUUCGGUUGAAAGGCGGCCUUUGGGCUGUCACUUGCGGAUGGGCCCGCGGCGCAUUAGCUAGUUGGUGAGGUAACGGCUCACCAAGGCGACGAUGCGUAGCCGGCCUGAGAGGGUGACCGGCCACACUGGGACUGAGACACGGCCCAGACUCCUACGGGAGGCAGCAGUAGGGAAUCUUCCGCAAUGGGCGAAAGCCUGACGGAGCGACGCCGCGUGAGCGAAGAAGGCCUUCGGGUCGUAAAGCUCUGUUGUGAGGGACGAAGAGCGCCGUUCGAAGAGGGCGGCGCGGUGACGGUACCUCACGAGAAAGCCCCGGCUAACUACGUG